AUCAAAUCAAGCGCGAGAAGGGCGUUUGGUGGAUGCCUUGGCAGUAAGAGGCGAUGAAGGACGUGAUACUCUGCGAUAAGCCAUGAGGAGCUGAGAAUAAGCUGUGAUCCAUGGAUUUCCGAAUGGGGCAACCCACCUGACAGUUUGUUAUAAUUGCCUUUUGGCAGUUUAUAACGGGCUGAAACAGGUACUUUUUGACUGAAUACAUAGGUCUUAAAGAGCAAACCCGGAGAACUGAAACAUCUAAGUACCCGGAGGAAAGGACAGCAAUAGCGACUCCCCUAGUAGCGGCGAGCGAACGGGGACCAGCCGAGCCCAAUAAGUGACCAGAAUGCGUUGGGAAGCGCAGCCAUAGCGGGUGACAGCCCCGUAUGGGAAGCUUUGAGGGACGUAUCAAGUAGGGCGGAACACGUGAAAUUCUGUCUGAAGAUCGGAGGACCACCUUCGAAGGCUAAGUACUCCUUACUGACCGAUAGCGAACCAGUACCGUGAGGGAAAGGUGAAAAGCACCCCGACGAGGGGAGUGAAACAGUACCUGAAACCGAACGCCUACAAUCAGUCGGAGGGGCAUAAGCCCUGACGGCGUACCUUUUGUAUAAUGGGUCAUCGACUUGGUCUAUCUAGCAAGCUUAAGCCGUUAGGUGUAGGCGCAGCGAAAGCGAGUCUUAAUAGGGCGUUGAGUUAGAUGGAUCAGACCCGAAACCGAGUGAUCUAGGCAUGACCAGGAUGAAGGUUGGGUAACACCAACUGGAGGUCCGAACCCACACCUGUUGAAAAAGGUCGGGAUGAGUUGUGCCUAGGGGUGAAAGGCCAAUCAAACUCGGAGAUAGCUGGUUCUCUGCGAAAUCUAUUUAGGUAGAGCGUCAUCCGAAUACCCUCGGGGGUAGAGCACUGGAUGGGUAAUGGGGCCCCACAGGCUUACUGAUCCUAACCAAACUCCGAAUACCGAGGAGUACUAGAUGGCAGACAGACGGCGGAUGCUAACGUCCGUCGUCGAGAGGGAAACAACCCUGACCUCCGGCUAAGGCCCCCAAUUCAUGGCUAAGUGGGAAAGCAGGUGGGACGACCAAAACAACCAGGAGGUUGGCUUAGAAGCAGCCAUCCUUUAAAGAUAGCGUAACAGCUCACUGGUCUAAAUAAGUUGUCCUGCGGCGAAGAUGUAACGGGGCUCAAGCCAUGAGCCGAAGCCGAGGAUGCCGUAAGGCAUGGUAGCAGAGCGUAGUGUGACAUGGUUUCUAUCCUCUUUAGUGUCCUUCGGGACACCAUGGAGGAGAAGAAAUCUUCGAUGAAGCGGGCCUGUGAGGGAUCCCGUGGAGAGAUCACUAGUGAGAAUGAUGACAUGAGUAGCGAUAAAGGGUGUGAGAGACACCCUCGCCGAAAGUCCAAGGGUUCCUGCUUAAAGCUAAUCUGAGCAGGGUAAGCCGACCCCUAAGGCGAGGCCGAAAGGCGUAGUCGAUGGGAACCAGGUUAAUAUUCCUGGGCCAGAUGGAAGUGACGGAUCUCAAAGGUUGUUCGUUCUUAUCGGAUUGAACGGGCCGCUCAGAGGUUCCUGGAAAUAGCUCCAUCGCUAGAUCGUACCCGAAACCGACACAGGUGGACUGGUAGAGAAUACCAAGGCGCUUGAGAGAACUAUGUUGAAGGAACUCGGCAAAAUACCUCCGUAAGUUCGCGAGAAGGAGGCCCGGUUUCUAGGCAACUAGAGGCUGGGGGCACAAACCAGGGGGUGGCGACUGUUUACUAAAAACACAGGGCUCUGCGAAGUCGCAAGACGACGUAUAGGGUCUGACGCCUGCCCGGUGCCUGAAGGUUAAAAGGAGGGGUGAGAGCUCUGAAUUGAAGCCCAGGUAAACGGCGGCCGUAACUAUAACGGUCCUAAGGUAGCGAAAUUCCUUGUCGGGUAAGUUCCGACCUGCACGAAUGGCGUAACGACUUCCCCGCUGUCUCCAACAUAGACUCAGCGAAAUUGAAUUGCCUGUCAAGAUGCAGGCUUCCCGCGGUUAGACGGAAAGACCCCGUGCACCUUUACUAUAGCUUCGCACUGGCAUCAGGAUUGUGAUGUGCAGGAUAGGUGGUAGGCUUUGAAGCAGGGACGCUAGUCCCUGUGGAGCCUCCCUUGAGAUACCACCCUUCGCACUCUUGAUGUCUAACCGCGGCCCGUUAUCCGGGUCCGGGACCCUGCGUGGUGGGUAGUUUGACUGGGGCGGUCGCCUCCUAAAGCGUAACGGAGGCGCGCGAAGGUUGGCUCAGAGCGGUCGGAAAUCGCUCGUUGAGUGCAAUGGCAGAAGCCAGCCUGACUGCGAGACUGACAAGUCGAGCAGAGUCGAAAGACGGCCAUAGUGAUCCGGUGGUCCCAAGUGGGAGGGCCAUCGCUCAACGGAUAAAAGGUACGCCGGGGAUAACAGGCUGAUACUGCCCAAGAGUCCAUAUCGACGGCAGUGUUUGGCACCUCGAUGUCGGCUCAUCUCAUCCUGGGGCUGGAGCAGGUCCCAAGGGUACGGCUGUUCGCCGUUUAAAGAGGUACGUGAGCUGGGUUUAGAACGUCGUGAGACAGUUCGGUCCCUAUCUGCCGUGGGUGUAGGAUACUUGAGAGGAGUUGCCCCUAGUACGAGAGGACCGGGGUGAACGAACCACUGGUGGACCUGUUGUGGCGCCAGCCGCAGUGCAGGGUAGCUAUGUUCGGACAGGAUAACCGCUGAAGGCAUCUAAGCGGGAAGCCCCCCUCAAAACAAGGUAUCCCUGAGGGCCGUGGUAGACCACCACGUCGAUAGGCCGGAGAUGUAAGCGCAGCAAUGCGUUCAGUUGACCGGUACUAAUGGCCCGAUAGGCUUGAUUUGAUCCAG
RNAcentral lists this ribosomal RNA (2840 nucleotides) under Roseovarius sp. AK1035. RNAcentral's name for it is "bacterial LSU rRNA". It matches the Rfam family "Bacterial large subunit ribosomal RNA". Lineage: Bacteria; Pseudomonadati; Pseudomonadota; Alphaproteobacteria; Rhodobacterales; Roseobacteraceae. The record is from RNAcentral.